Molecule: ribosomal RNA, 492 nt
Filed under: uncultured bacterium
Lineage: Bacteria
Description: partial 16S ribosomal RNA
Rfam family: Bacterial small subunit ribosomal RNA
Source: RNAcentral
AGUGAACGCUGGCGGUAGGCCUAACACAUGCAAGUCGAACGGCAGCACAGUAAGAGCUUGCUCUUACGGGUGGCGAGUGGCGGACGGGUGAGGAAUACAUCGGAAUCUACUUUUUCGUGGGGGAUAACGUAGGGAAACUUACGCUAAUACCGCAUACGACCUACGGGUGAAAGCAGGGGAUCUUCGGACCUUGUGCGAUUGAAUGAGCCGAUGUGGGAUUAGCUAGUUGGCGGGGUAAAGGCCCACCAAGGCGACGAUCCGUAGCUGGUCUGAGAGGAUGGUCAGCCACCCUGGAACUGAGACACGGUCCAGACUCCUACGGGAGGCAGCAGUGGGGAAUAUUGGACAGUGGGCGCAAGCCUGAUCCAGCCAUACCGCGUGGGUUAAGAAGGCCUUCGGGUUGUAAAGCCCUUUUGUUGGGAAAGAAAAGCAGCAGGUUAAUACCCCGCUGUUCUGACGGUACCCAAAGAAUAAGCACCGGCUAACUUCGUG